CAGCAGCCGCGGUAAUACGGAGGGUGCAAGCGUUACUCGGAAUCACUGGGCGUAAAGGACGCGUAGGCGGGUUGUCAAGUCAGAUGUGAAAUCCUACAGCUUAACUGUAGAACUGCAUUUGAAACUGGCAACCUAGAGUAUGGGAGGGGGAGAUGGAAUUAGUGGUGUAGGGGUAAAAUCCGUAGAUAUCACUAGGAAUACCGAAAGCGAAGGCGAUCUCCUGGAACAUUACUGACGCUAAGGCGUGAAAGCGUGGGGAGCAAACGGGAUUAGAUACCCCGGUAGUCCACGCCCUAAACGAUGAACACUAGUCGUCGGGAUGCUUGUCAUCUCGGUGAUGCACUUAACAGAUUAAGUGUUCCGCCUGGGGAGUACGGUCGCAAGAUUAAAACUCAAAGGAAUAGACGGGGACCCGCACAAGUGGUGGAGCAUGUGGUUUAAUUCGAAGAUACGCGAAGAACCUUACCUAGCCUUGACAUUGAUAGAACACACUAGAGAUAGAGUGGUGCCCUUCGGGGAACUUGAAAACAGGUGCUGCACGGCUGUCGUCAGCUCGUGUCGUGAGAUGUUGGGUUAAGUCCCGCAACGAGCGCAACCCUCGUCCUUAGUUGCCAGCAGGUUAUGCUGGGCACUCUAAGGAGACUGCCUUCGCAAGGAGGAGGAAGGUGAGGACGACGUCAAGUCAUCAUGGCCCUUAUGGCUAGGGCUACACACGUGCUACAAUGGGGCGUACAGAGAGUUGCGAUACCGCGAGGUGGAGCCAAUCUCAUAAAGCGUCUCUCAGUUCGGAUUGGAGUCUGCAACUCGACUCCAUGAAGCUGGAAUCACUAGUAAUCGUAGAUCAGCAAUGCUACGGUGAAUACGUUCCCGGGUCUUGUACUCACCGCCCGUCACACCAUGGGAGUUGAUUUCACCCGAAAUUGGGAAGCUAACCUUCGGGAGGCUACCACUUACGGUGGAAUUAGCGACUGGGGUGAAGUCGUAACAAGGUAACCGUA
Molecule: ribosomal RNA, 998 nt
Filed under: uncultured Campylobacterota bacterium
Lineage: Bacteria; Pseudomonadati; Campylobacterota
Description: bacterial SSU rRNA
Rfam family: Bacterial small subunit ribosomal RNA
Source: RNAcentral